This 84-nucleotide transfer RNA is filed under the name SAR324 cluster bacterium. RNAcentral describes it as "tRNA-Leu". It matches the Rfam family "tRNA". From Rfam's summary of the family: Transfer RNA (tRNA) molecules are approximately 80 nucleotides in length. Their secondary structure includes four short double-helical elements and three loops (D, anti-codon, and T loops). The record is from RNAcentral. Lineage: Bacteria; Deltaproteobacteria.
GCCCUGGUGGCGGAAUAGGUAGACGCUCAGGACUUAAAAUUCUGUGACCGUAAGGUCGUGCCGGUUCGAUUCCGGCCCGGGGCA